Molecule: ribosomal RNA, 624 nt
Filed under: uncultured Herbaspirillum sp.
Lineage: Bacteria; Pseudomonadati; Pseudomonadota; Betaproteobacteria; Burkholderiales; Oxalobacteraceae
Description: bacterial SSU rRNA
Rfam family: Bacterial small subunit ribosomal RNA
Source: RNAcentral
GGCGGCAUGCCUUACACAUGCAAGUCGAACGGCAGCACGGGAGCUUGCUCCUGGAGGCGAGUGGCGAACGGGUGAGUAAUAUAUCGGAACGUGCCCUAGAGUGGGGGAUAACUAGUCGAAAGAUUAGCUAAUACCGCAUACGAUCUAAGGAUGAAAGUGGGGGAUCGCAAGACCUCAUGCUCGUGGAGCGGCCGAUAUCUGAUUAGCUAGUUGGUGAGGUAAAGGCUCACCAAGGCGACGAUCAGUAGCUGGUCUGAGAGGACGACCAGCCACACUGGAACUGAGACACGGUCCAGACUCCUACGGGAGGCAGCAGUGGGGAAUUUUGGACAAUGGGCGCAAGCCUGAUCCAGCAAUGCCGCGUGAGUGAAGAAGGCCUUCGGGUUGUAAAGCUCUUUUGUCAGGGAAGAAACGGUUCUGGUUAAUACCCGGGGCUAAUGACGGUACCUGAAGAAUAAGCACCGGCUAACUACGUGCCAGCAGCCGCGGUAAUACGUAGGGUGCAAGCGUUAAUCGGAAUUACUGGGCGUAAAGCGUGCGCAGGCGGUUGUACAAGACAGAUGUGAAAUCCCCGGGCUUAACCUGGGAAUUGCAUUUGUGACUGUACGGCUAGAGUGUGUCAGA